GGAUGAACGCUAGCGGCAGGCCUAACACAUGCAAGUCGAGGGAGAAGCCCUUUCGGGGGCAGAAACCGGCGCACGGGUGCGUAACGCGUAUGCAACCUACCUUUCACAGGGGGAUAGCCCGAAGAAAUUUGGAUUAAUACCCCAUAAUAUUAUUGGAUGGCAUCAUUUGAUAAUUAAAACUGCGGUGGUGAAAGAUGGGCAUGCGUCCUAUUAGCUAGUUGGAGUGGUAACGGCACCCCAAGGCUACGAUAGGUAGGGGUCCUGAGAGGGAGAUCCCCCACACUGGUACUGAGACAGGGACCAGACUCCUACGGGAGGCAGCAGUGAGGAAUAUUGGUCAAUGGUCGGAAGACUGAACCAGCCAUGCCGCGUGCAGGAAGAAUGCCUUAUGGGUUGUAAACUGCUUUUAUAUGGGAAGAAUAAGGUGUACGUGUACAUUGAUGACGGUACCAUAUGAAUAAGCAUCGGCUAACUCCGUG
RNAcentral lists this ribosomal RNA (479 nucleotides) under uncultured bacterium. RNAcentral's name for it is "partial 16S ribosomal RNA". It matches the Rfam family "Bacterial small subunit ribosomal RNA", at positions 27 to 507 of the family's 1533-position model. The record is from RNAcentral.